RNAcentral lists this ribosomal RNA (497 nucleotides) under uncultured bacterium. RNAcentral describes it as "partial 16S ribosomal RNA". It matches the Rfam family "Bacterial small subunit ribosomal RNA", at positions 28 to 507 of the family's 1533-position model. The record is from RNAcentral.
GAUGAACGCUGGCGGCGUGCCUAAUACAUGCAAGUCGAGCGAACAGACGAGGAGCUUGCUUCUUAGACGUUAGCGGCGGACGGGUGAGUAACACGUAGGUAACCUACCUAUAAGACUGGGAUAACUUCGGGAAACCGGAGCUAAUACCGGAUAAUAUUUUGAACCGCAUGGUUCGAUAGUGAAAGAUGGUUUUGCUAUCACUUAUAGAUGGAUCUGCGCCGUAUUAGCUAGUUGGUAAGGUAACGGCUUACCAAGGCAACGAUGCGUAGCCGACCUGAGAGGGUGAUCGGCCACACUGGAACUGAGACACGGUCCAGACUCCUACGGGAGGCAGCAGUAGGGAAUCUUCCGCAAUGGGCGAAAGCCUGACGGAGCAACGCCGCGUGAGUGAUGAAGGUCUUCGGAUCGUAAAACUCUGUUAUUAGGGAAGAACAUAUGUGUAAGUAACUGUGCACGUCUUGACGGUACCUAAUCAGAAAGCCACGGCUAACUACGUG